This 468-nucleotide ribosomal RNA is filed under the name uncultured bacterium. RNAcentral's name for it is "partial 16S ribosomal RNA". It matches the Rfam family "Bacterial small subunit ribosomal RNA", at positions 28 to 507 of the family's 1533-position model. The record is from RNAcentral.
GACGAACGCUGGCGGCGUGCUUAACACAUGCAAGUCGAACGGAAAGGCCCUGCUCUUGUGGGGUGCUCGAGUGGCGAACGGGUGAGUAACACGUGAGUAACCUGCCCUUGACUUUGGGAUAACUCCAGGAAACUGGGGCUAACACCGGAUAGGAGCUCCUGAAGCAUGGUGGGGGUUGGAAAGUUUCGGCGGUUGGGGAUGGACUCGCGGCUUAUCAGCUUGUUGGGGGGGUAGUGGCUUACCAAGGCUUUGACGGAUAGCCGGCCUGGGAGGGGGACCGGCCACAUUGGGACUGAGAUACGGCCCAGACUCCUACGGGAGGCAGCAGUGGGGAGUAUUGCACAGUGGGCGGAAGCCUGAUACAGCGACGCCGCGUGCGGGAUGACGGCCUUCGGGUUGUAAACCGCUUUCGCCUGUGACGAAGCGUGAGUGACGGUAAUGGGUAAAGAAGCACCGGCUAACUACGUG